CAGGUGGUGCAUGGUUGUCGUCAGCUCGUGUCGUGAGAUGUUCGGGUUAAGUCCCGCAACGAGCGCAACCCUCGCCUCUAGUUGCCAGCAUUCGGUUGGGCACUCUAGAGGGGACUGCCGGCGACAAGUCGGAGGAAGGUGGGGAUGACGUCAAAUCAUCAUGCCCCUUAUGACCUGGGCUACACACGUGCUACAAUGGGCGGUACAAAGGGCUGCGAACCCGCGAGGGGGAGCGAAUCCCAAAAAGCCGCUCUCAGUUCGGAUUGCAGGCUGCAACUCGCCUGCAUGAAGCCGGAAUCGCUAGUAAUCGCGGAUCAGCACGCCGCGGUGAAUACGUUCCCGGGCCUU
Molecule: ribosomal RNA, 348 nt
Filed under: uncultured Geobacillus sp.
Lineage: Bacteria; Bacillati; Bacillota; Bacilli; Caryophanales; Anoxybacillaceae
Description: bacterial SSU rRNA
Rfam family: Bacterial small subunit ribosomal RNA
Source: RNAcentral